GACGAACGCUGGCGGCGUGCUUAACACAUGCAAGUCGAACGGAAAGGCCCUGCUUUUGUGGGGUGCUCGAGUGGCGAACGGGUGAGUAACACGUGAGUAACCUGCCCUUGACUUUGGGAUAACUUCAGGAAACUGGGGCUAAUACCGGAUAGGAGCUCCUGCUGCAUGGUGGGGGUUGGAAAGUUUCGGCGGUUGGGGAUGGACUCGCGGCUUAUCAGCUUGUUGGUGGGGUAGUGGCUUACCAAGGCUUUGACGGGUAGCCGGCCUGAGAGGGUGACCGGCCACAUUGGGACUGAGAUACGGUCCAGACUCCUACGGGAGGCAGCGGUGGGGAAUAUUGCACAAUGGGCGGAAGCCUGAUGCAGCAACGCCGCGUGCGGGAUGACGGCCUUCGGGUUGUAAACCGCUUUCGCCUGUGACGAAGCGUGAGUGACGGUAAUGGGUAAAGAAGCACCGGCUAACUACGUG
RNAcentral lists this ribosomal RNA (468 nucleotides) under uncultured bacterium. Its description in RNAcentral is "partial 16S ribosomal RNA". It matches the Rfam family "Bacterial small subunit ribosomal RNA", at positions 28 to 507 of the family's 1533-position model. The record is from RNAcentral.